CUAUACAUGCAGUCGAGCGACAGAUAAGGAGCUUGCUCCUUUGACGUUAGCGGCGGACGGGUGAGUAACACGUGGAUAACCUACCUAUAAGACUGGGAUAACUUCGGGAAACCGGAGCUAAUACCGGAUAACAUAUUGAACCGCAUGGUUCAAUAGUGAAAGGCGGCUUUGCUGUCACUUAUAGAUGGAUCCGCGCCGUAUUAGCUAGUUGGUAAGGUAACGGCUUACCAAGGCAACGAUACGUAGCCGACCUGAGAGGGUGAUCGGCCACACUGGAACUGAGACACGGUCCAGACUCCUACGGGAGGCAGCAGUAGGGAAUCUUCCGCAAUGGGCGAAAGCCUGACGGAGCAACGCCGCGUGAGUGAUGAAGGUCUUCGGAUCGUAAAACUCUGUUAUCAGGGAAGAACAAAUGUGUAAGUAACUGUGCACAUCUUGACGGUACCUGAUCAGAAAGCCACGGCUAACUACGUGCCAGCAGCC
Molecule: ribosomal RNA, 483 nt
Filed under: uncultured bacterium
Lineage: Bacteria
Description: bacterial SSU rRNA
Rfam family: Bacterial small subunit ribosomal RNA
Source: RNAcentral